RNAcentral lists this unclassified non-coding RNA (26 nucleotides) under Mus musculus (house mouse). Its description in RNAcentral is "piRNA piR-mmu-68540683". Lineage: Eukaryota; Metazoa; Chordata; Mammalia; Rodentia; Muridae. The record is from RNAcentral.
AUCAUGACCAAGAAGCAUUUGGGGAG